AACGAACGCUGGCGGCAUGCCUAACACAUGCGAGUCGAACGAGACCUUCGGGUCUAGUGGCGCACGGGUGCGUAACGCGUGGGAACCUGCCCUUAGGUUCGGAAUAACUCCCCGAAAGGGGUGCUAAUACCGGAUAAUGUCUUCGGACCAAAGAUUUAUCGCCUUUGGAUGGGCCCGCGUUGGAUUAGCUAGUUGGUAGGGUAAAAGCCUACCAAGGCGGCGAUCCAUAGCUGGUCUGAGAGGAUGAUCAGCCACCCUGGGACUGAGACACGGCCCAGACUCCUACGGGAGGCAGCAGUGGGGAAUAUUGGAAAAUGGGCGAAAGCCUGAUCCAGCAAUGCCGCGUGAGUGAUGAAGGCCUUAGGGUUGUAAAGCUCUUUUACCCGGGAUGAUAAUGACAGUACCGGGAGAAUAAGCUCCGGCUAACUCCGUG
Molecule: ribosomal RNA, 433 nt
Filed under: uncultured bacterium
Lineage: Bacteria
Description: partial 16S ribosomal RNA
Rfam family: Bacterial small subunit ribosomal RNA
Source: RNAcentral